This 468-nucleotide ribosomal RNA is filed under the name Triticum aestivum (bread wheat). RNAcentral's name for it is "partial small subunit ribosomal RNA". The record is from RNAcentral. Lineage: Eukaryota; Viridiplantae; Streptophyta; Magnoliopsida; Poales; Poaceae.
AUGCAUGUUCGUCUUCCGUUUAGUGCAUCCACCACCAUAUUUUCUUUUACGUUCCAAUUACUUCACAGUGAUAUAUGGACAUCUCCGGUCGCGAGCAAUACUGGCUAUCUUUAUUACCUCGUGAUCUUAGAUGAUUUCUCACAUUAUGUGUGGACGUUUCCCUUACGUCGCAAGUCUGAUGCACUCACGACUCUUACGACUUUCUAUGCCUACGUCUCCAUACAGUUUGAUCGUCCCAUACAUGCACUCCAAACCGAUAAAGGGAAAGAAUUUGACAACCUUGUCGUUCGCACACUUCUCGCAUCACAUGGCACCAUCUUUCGCCUCACAUGUCCACACACAUCUCAGCAGAACGGUCCCGUUGAACGCGUGCUACACACUCUCAAUGACUGUGUAUGUACCCUUCUCUUUCAUGCUAACGUGCCUCCUCGAUUUUGGCCCGACGCACUCGCCACCGCAUCUCUUCUA